UUGUGAGUUUCUCCGUUGACGUCUAUGGACAAAGGUUGCUGUGGUGACAACUGAGAAUCAUAAGUGAAAUGCCAGCAAUAUGCUUUGCUCAUAGGCUCUUGUUUGUCUAAAUUACACGGAUUCUGCGUCCAACCUAAAUAUUUCAUUCUUUUAAGCACUUGCUGAAAAUGUCUGCGACAGCCAGCCACGACUGCAGAAUCCUCUGUUGUCAACGUCAAGACCAAUGGCAUGUAUUUAUCUUCACGCUCUACCCCAAUUCCAAGGGUUGAAUAUGUAUUAUACCAUUUGAACCUUG
This is a long non-coding RNA of Psammomys obesus (fat sand rat), 295 nucleotides long. RefSeq lists it as uncharacterized. NCBI's taxonomy places the organism in Eukaryota, Metazoa, Chordata, Mammalia, Rodentia, Muridae. The transcript has 2 exons. The record is from RefSeq and is a predicted model, not a curated record.